Molecule: ribosomal RNA, 1372 nt
Filed under: uncultured bacterium
Lineage: Bacteria
Description: bacterial SSU rRNA
Rfam family: Bacterial small subunit ribosomal RNA
Source: RNAcentral
GAUGAACGCUGGCGGCGUGCCUAAUACAUGCAAGUCGAGCGAACGGACGAGAAGCUUGCUUCUCUGAUGUUAGCGGCGGACGGGUGAGUAACACGUGGAUAACCUACCUAUAAGACUGGGAUAACUUCGGGAAACCGUAGCUAAUACCGGAUAAUAUUUUGAACCGCAUGGUUCAAAAGUGAAAGACGGUCUUGCUGUCACUUAUAGAUGGAUCCACGCUGCAUUAGCUAGUUGGUAAGGUAACGGCUUACCAAGGCAACGAUGCAUAGCCGACCUGAGAGGGUGAUCGGCCACACUGGAACUGAGACACGGUCCAGACUCCUACGGGAGGCAGCAGUAGGGAAUCUUCCGCAAUGGGCGAAAGCCUGACGGAGCAACGCCGCGUGAGUGAUGAAGGUCUUCGGAUCGUAAAACUCUGUUAUUAGGGAAGAACAUAUGUGUAAGUAACUGUGCACAUCUUGACGGUACCUAAUCAGAAAGCCACGGCUAACUACGUGCCAGCAGCCGCGGUAAUACGUAGGUGGCAAGCGUUAUCCGGAAUUAUUGGGCGUAAAGCGCGCGUAGGCGGUUUUUUAAGUCUGAUGUGAAAGCCCACGGCUCAACCGUGGAGGGUCAUUGGAAACUGGAAAACUUGAGUGCAGAAGAGGAAAGUGGAAUUCCAUGUGUAGCGGUGAAAUGCGCAGAGAUAUGGAGGAACACCAGUGGCGAAGGCGACUUUCUGGUCUGUAACUGACGCUGAUGUGCGAAAGCGUGGGGAUCAAACAGGAUUAGAUACCCUGGUAGUCCACGCCGUAAACGAUGAGUGCUAAGUGUUAGGGGGUUUCCGCCCCUUAGUGCUGCAGCUAACGCAUUAAGCACUCCGCCUGGGGAGUAUGACCGCAAGGUUGAAACUCAAAGGAAUUGACGGGGACCCGCACAAGCGGUGGAGCAUGUGGUUUAAUUCGAAGCAACGCGAAGAACCUUACCAAAUCUUGACAUCCUUUGACAACUCUAGAGAUAGAGCCUUCCCCUUCGGGGGACAAAGUGACAGGUGGUGCAUGGUUGUCGUCAGCUCGUGUCGUGAGAUGUUGGGUUAAGUCCCGCAACGAGCGCAACCCUUAAGCUUAGUUGCCAUCAUUAAGUUGGGCACUCUAAGUUGACUGCCGGUGACAAACCGGAGGAAGGUGGGGAUGACGUCAAAUCAUCAUGCCCCUUAUGAUUUGGGCUACACACGUGCUACAAUGGACAAUACAAAGGGCAGCGAAACCGCGAGGUCAAGCAAAUCCCAUAAAGUUGUUCUCAGUUCGGAUUGUAGUCUGCAACUCGACUACAUGAAGCUGGAAUCGCUAGUAAUCGUAGAUCAGCAUGCUACGGUGAAUACGUUCCCGGGUCU